RNAcentral lists this ribosomal RNA (1527 nucleotides) under Lactiplantibacillus pentosus. Its description in RNAcentral is "Lactobacillus pentosus partial 16S ribosomal RNA". It matches the Rfam family "Bacterial small subunit ribosomal RNA". Lineage: Bacteria; Bacillati; Bacillota; Bacilli; Lactobacillales; Lactobacillaceae. The record is from RNAcentral.
AGAGUUUGAUCAUGGCUCAGGACGAACGCUGGCGGCGUGCCUAAUACAUGCAAGUCGAACGAACUCUGGUAUUGAUUGGUGCUUGCAUCAUGAUUUACAUUUGAGUGAGUGGCGAACUGGUGAGUAACACGUGGGAAACCUGCCCAGAAGCGGGGGAUAACACCUGGAAACAGAUGCUAAUACCGCAUAACAACUUGGACCGCAUGGUCCGAGUUUGAAAGAUGGCUUCGGCUAUCACUUUUGGAUGGUCCCGCGGCGUAUUAGCUAGAUGGUGGGGUAACGGCUCACCAUGGCAAUGAUACGUAGCCGACCUGAGAGGGUAAUCGGCCACAUUGGGACUGAGACACGGCCCAAACUCCUACGGGAGGCAGCAGUAGGGAAUCUUCCACAAUGGACGAAAGUCUGAUGGAGCAACGCCGCGUGAGUGAAGAAGGGUUUCGGCUCGUAAAACUCUGUUGUUAAAGAAGAACAUAUCUGAGAGUAACUGUUCAGGUAUUGACGGUAUUUAACCAGAAAGCCACGGCUAACUACGUGCCAGCAGCCGCGGUAAUACGUAGGUGGCAAGCGUUGUCCGGAUUUAUUGGGCGUAAAGCGAGCGCAGGCGGUUUUUUAAGUCUGAUGUGAAAGCCUUCGGCUCAACCGAAGAAGUGCAUCGGAAACUGGGAAACUUGAGUGCAGAAGAGGACAGUGGAACUCCAUGUGUAGCGGUGAAAUGCGUAGAUAUAUGGAAGAACACCAGUGGCGAAGGCGGCUGUCUGGUCUGUAACUGACGCUGAGGCUCGAAAGUAUGGGUAGCAAACAGGAUUAGAUACCCUGGUAGUCCAUACCGUAAACGAUGAAUGCUAAGUGUUGGAGGGUUUCCGCCCUUCAGUGCUGCAGCUAACGCAUUAAGCAUUCCGCCUGGGGAGUACGGCCGCAAGGCUGAAACUCAAAGGAAUUGACGGGGGCCCGCACAAGCGGUGGAGCAUGUGGUUUAAUUCGAAGCUACGCGAAGAACCUUACCAGGUCUUGACAUACUAUGCAAAUCUAAGAGAUUAGACGUUCCCUUCGGGGACAUGGAUACAGGUGGUGCAUGGUUGUCGUCAGCUCGUGUCGUGAGAUGUUGGGUUAAGUCCCGCAACGAGCGCAACCCUUAUUAUCAGUUGCCAGCAUUAAGUUGGGCACUCUGGUGAGACUGCCGGUGACAAACCGGAGGAAGGUGGGGAUGACGUCAAAUCAUCAUGCCCCUUAUGACCUGGGCUACACACGUGCUACAAUGGAUGGUACAACGAGUUGCGAACUCGCGAGAGUAAGCUAAUCUCUUAAAGCCAUUCUCAGUUCGGAUUGUAGGCUGCAACUCGCCUACAUGAAGUCGGAAUCGCUAGUAAUCGCGGAUCAGCAUGCCGCGGUGAAUACGUUCCCGGGCCUUGUACACACCGCCCGUCACACCAUGAGAGUUUGUAACACCCAAAGUCGGUGGGGUAACCUUUUAGGAACCAGCCGCCUAAGGUGGGACAGAUGAUUAGGGUGAAGUCGUAACAAGGUAGC